AUACGUAGGGAGCGAGCGUUGUCCGGAAUUACUGGGUGUAAAGGGAGCGUAGGCGGGAGUGCAAGUCUGAUGUGAAAUACAUGGGCUCAACCCAUGGGCUGCAUUUGAAACUGCAUUUCUUGAGUGAAGUAGAGGUAAGCGGAAUUCCUGGUGUAGCGGUGAAAUGCGUAGAUAUCAGGAGGAACACCGGUGGCGAAGGCGGCUUACUGGGCUUUUACUGACGCUGAGGCUCGAAAGCGUGGGGAGCAAACAGGAUUAGAUACCCUGGUAGUCCACGCUGUAAACGAUGAUUACUAGGUGUGGGGGGACUGACCCCUUCCGUGCCGCAGUUAACACAAUAAGUAAUCCACCUGGGGAGUACGGCCGCAAGGUUGAAACUCAAAUGAAUUGACGGGG
RNAcentral lists this ribosomal RNA (396 nucleotides) under uncultured bacterium. RNAcentral's name for it is "partial 16S ribosomal RNA". It matches the Rfam family "Bacterial small subunit ribosomal RNA", at positions 523 to 918 of the family's 1533-position model. The record is from RNAcentral.